This 253-nucleotide ribosomal RNA is filed under the name uncultured bacterium. RNAcentral's name for it is "partial 16S ribosomal RNA". It matches the Rfam family "Bacterial small subunit ribosomal RNA", at positions 524 to 776 of the family's 1533-position model. The record is from RNAcentral.
GACGUAGGGGGCCAGCGUUGUUCGGAAUUACUGGGCGUAAAGGGUUCGUAGGCGGUGUAGCAAGUCGGGUGUGAAAUCUCUGGGCUUAACCCAGAGGCUGCUUCCGAAACUGCUGUGCUUGAGUGUGGGAGAGGCGCGUGGAAUUGCAGGUGUAGCGGUGAAAUGCGUAGAUAUCUGCAGGAACACCCGUGGCGAAAGCGGCGCGCUGGACCACUACUGACGCUGAGGAACGAAAGCUAGGGGAGCAAACAGG